This is an RNA transcript of Pan troglodytes (chimpanzee), 3878 nucleotides long. It is a transcript of the gene named TBC1 domain family member 2, with no coding region annotated. The transcript has 13 exons. The record is from RefSeq and is a predicted model, not a curated record. NCBI's taxonomy places the organism in Eukaryota, Metazoa, Chordata, Mammalia, Primates, Hominidae.
GGGGCUGAAGGAACACCAGAAGAGUGGCAGACAGCUCCGGAGCCGCGCUGCCCGGGCGACGCCGGAAGAUGGGCCUCCCAGCGGUCUUCCUUUCAGCCAAUGGCCGCGAGAUGCGCCGUCCGAGGGUGCCCCGCGCGGCAGAGGGAGGGAACAAGCAGCCCAUCGGGUGCAAGAAAGCACUAUCUUUCUAGGUGACUAUGCGAACUACCAGGGAAGUGUAGCUAGGGACAGGCUUCUCUGCCCGCGGUUAACCUAACUCAGUGCCACCACGCCUUUAACCUGAAGCCAGGGAGCACGGCCGCCCUUAGUAAAGAUGGCUGACUGGCGCGGAGAAAAAGCCGGAAGCAGCCGGGCCUUGCAGGGAGCCGACUGAGCGCUGCGGGGGCGUGGCCUGGCGGUGGAGGGGCGUGGCCAGCCGCCGUAACCUGGGUUUGCGGUCUUUGAGGCGCACGCACCGCACCCAGUCCCGACUCUGUGGCUUCCUGGGGGCGGGUUCGCCGUCGGCCCCGCCCCCGCCCAGGUGUCUCCCUUUGGGAAGGUGCCCGCCGAGUCUCCGAGAUUUGUCCCUGGUGGUCCCGCAGACCCCUCGUCCCUCCGCAGUCUCCGGCUGGCGGCGAUGGAGGGCGCUGGGGAGAACGCCCCGGAGUCCAGCUCCUCUGCCCCUGGGUCCGAAGAGUCUGCCAGGGAUCCACAGGUGCCGCCUCCGGAGGAAGAAUCGGGGGACUGCGCCCGGUCCCUGGAGGCGGUCCCCAAGAAACUCUGUGGGUAUUUAAGUAAGUUCGGCGGCAAAGGGCCCAUCCGGGGCUGGAAAUCCCGCUGGUUCUUCUACGACGAAAGGAAAUGUCAGCUGUAUUACUCGCGGACCGCGCAGGAUGCUAAUCCCUUGGACAGCAUCGACCUCUCCAGUGCAGUGUUUGACUGUAAGGCGGACGCUGAGGAGGGGAUCUUCGAAAUCAAGACUCCCAGCCGGGUUAUUACCCUGAAGGCCGCCACCAAGCAAGUGAUGCUGUACUGGCUGCAGCAGCUGCAGAUGAAGCGCUGGGAGUUCCACAACAGCCCGCCGGCACCUCCUGCCACCCCUGAUGCCGCCCUGGCUGGGAAUGGGCCCGUCCUGCACCUCGAGCUAGGGCAAGAAGAGGCAGAGCUGGAGGAGUUCCUGUGCCCUGUGAAAACACCCCCUGGGCUAGUGGGCGUGGCAGCUGCCUUGCAGCCCUUCCCUGCCCUUCAGAAUAUUUCCCUCAAGCACCUGGGGACUGAAAUACAAAACACAAUGCACAACAUCCGUGGCAACAAGCAGGCCCAGGGAACAGGCCAUGAACCUCCAGGGGAAGAUUCUCCACAGAGUGGGGAGCCUCAGAGGGAGGAGCAGCCCUCGGCCUCUGACGCCAGCACCCCAGGGAGAGAGCCAGAGGAUUCUCCAAAGCCUGCACCCAAGCCUUCUCUGACCAUCAGUUUCGCUCAGAAAGCCAAGCGCCAGAACAACACCUUCCCAUUCUUUUCUGAAGGAAUCACACGGAACCGAACUGCCCAGGAGAAAGUGGCAGCCUUGGAGCAACAGGUUCUGAUGCUCACCAAGGAGUUAAAGUCUCAGAAGGAGCUAGUGAAGAUCCUGCACAAGGCACUGGAGGCCGCCCAGCAGGAGAAGCGGGCGUCCAGCGCAUACCUGGCGGCGGCUGAGGACAAGGACCGGCUGGAGCUGGUGCGGCACAAAGUGCGGCAGAUCGCGGAGCUGGGCCGGCGGGUGGAGGCCCUGGAGCAGGAGCGGGAGAGCCUGGCGCACACAGCGAGCCUGCGGGAGCAGCAGGUGCAGGAGCUACAGCAGCACGUGCAGCUGCUUAUGGACAAGAACCACGCCAAGCAGCAGGUCAUCUGCAAGCUCUCUGAGAAGGUCACCCAGGACUUCACGCACCCCCCUGACCAGUCUCCUUUGCGCCCCGACGCUGCCAACAGGGACUUCCUGAGCCAGCAGGGGAAGAUAGAGCACCUGAAGGAUGACAUGGAAGCUUACCGGACCCAGAACUGCUUCCUCAACUCCGAGAUCCACCAGGUCACAAAGAUCUGGAGAAAGGUGGCUGAGAAGGAGAAGGCCCUUCUGACGAAGUGCGCCUACCUCCAAGCCAGAAACUGCCAGGUGGAAAGCAAGUACCUGGCCGGUCUGAGAAGGCUGCAGGAGGCCCUGGGGGACGAAGCCAGCGAGUGCUCAGAGCUGCUGAGGCAGCUUGUCCAGGAGGCGCUGCAGUGGGAAGCUGGGGAGGCCUCAUCUGACAGCAUCGAGCUGAGCCCCAUCAGUAAGUAUGAUGAGUACGGCUUCCUGACGGUGCCCGACUAUGAGGUGGAAGACCUGAAGCUGCUGGCCAAGAUCCAGGCGUUGGAGUCACGAUCCCACCACCUGCUGGGCCUCGAGGCUGUGGAUCGGCCGCUGAGGGAGCGCUGGGCUGCCCUGGGCGAUCUUGUGCCCUCAGCCGAGCUCAAGCAGCUACUGCGGGCAGGAGUACCCCGUGAACACCGGCCUCGUGUCUGGAGGUGGCUGGUCCACCUCCGUGUCCAGCACCUGCACACUCCAGGCUGCUACCAGGAACUGCUGAGCCGGGGCCAGGCCCGCGAGCACCCUGCUGCCCGCCAGAUUGAGCUGGACCUGAACCGGACCUUCCCCAACAACAAACACUUCACCUGCCCCACCUCCAGCUUCCCCGACAAGCUCCGCCGGGUGCUGCUGGCCUUCUCCUGGCAGAACCCCACCAUCGGCUACUGCCAGGGCCUGAACAGGCUGGCGGCCAUUGCCCUGCUGGUCCUAGAGGAGGAGGAGAGCGCCUUCUGGUGCCUGGUGGCCAUUGUGGAGACUAUCAUGCCCGCUGAUUACUACUGCAACACGCUGACGGCAUCCCAGGUGGACCAGCGGGUGCUCCAGGACCUGCUCUCGGAGAAGCUGCCCAGGCUGAUGGCCCAUCUGGGGCAGCACCACGUGGAUCUCUCCCUCGUCACCUUCAACUGGUUCCUCGUGGUCUUUGCGGACAGUCUCAUUAGCAACAUCCUCCUUCGGGUCUGGGAUGCCUUCCUGUACGAGGGGACGAAGGUGGUGUUUCGCUAUGCCUUGGCCAUUUUCAAGUACAACGAGAAGGAGAUCUUGAGGCUACAGAAUGGCCUGGAAAUCUACCAGUACCUGCGCUUCUUCACCAAGACCAUCUCCAACAGCCGGUGAGGAACCCCCACCCCCUGCCACUGCCACCACUCACACACCCCCAGGACACAUAGCAGAGGGGAGGCUGAUGUUUGCCAAGUAGAGAUUGGAAGCUGAUGAACAUCGCCUUCAAUGACAUGAACCCCUUCCGCAUGAAACAGCUGCGGCAGCUGCGCAUGGUCCACCGGGAGCGGCUGGAGGCUGAGCUGCGGGAGCUGGAGCAGCUUAAGGCGGAGUACCUGGAGAGGCAGGCAUCCCGGCGCAGAGCCGUGUCCGAGGGCUGUGCCAGCGAGGACGAGGUGGAGGGGGAAGCCUGACUUGGCCAACUCCCCUCCCCACAGCCUUCCUCACCCUUGGCUGGCAGACCCACUGGAGGUCAGGCACGGACCAGUGGCCCAGCCCUGGGUGUCCCAUCACCAUGUGACCUUGGACAUGUCCCUUCCCCUCUCUGGCCCUCAGUUUCCCCACUGGGACAUUGUGUGCUGCAAAGCCAUUGGUUGGGCUACUUCUUCAUAGGCACUUACUUACCCAGGGAUGCCACCCUUUCGUCACCUCUUCCACAGAGCACUUUGGCAUGUAAACAAGCAAGAGCACUGCCUCUAUAGGGUAACCUGGAACAUUCUCUAGGUUAUAUCAAUAUAAAACAAUGUAAAUGGUGGAAAUCAUUCAUAAGCUUUGGAACUUAAACAGUUCUCAGUUA